This is a long non-coding RNA of Lolium rigidum, 577 nucleotides long. RefSeq lists it as uncharacterized. Lineage: Eukaryota; Viridiplantae; Streptophyta; Magnoliopsida; Poales; Poaceae. The record is from RefSeq and is a predicted model, not a curated record. The transcript is spliced from 4 exons.
UUGAUUGCCUCCUAGAGAGUAGCCCGUUGGAGUCAGGGUCAGCAUGAAUUUCUUGCCGAGUUGGGUCAGCAAUCCUCUCCAAAAAGAAAAAAAAAUAUCAAAUCCAGGUAUCUGCCAUAAAGCCAGGUGGUAGUUUGUAUCUAAGUACCAAGCUAAAGCUAUUGCUCUGCAGUUCCACCCCUACACAUACAUAAAGAAUCUGCUAAUUUGUUUGGUGGUAUUCUACGAGGCAAUCUAUUAGUUGGUCGUUUAAUAAAUUGCCGCGUUAUCAAAGUACAUCUUACUGUCAAGUUGUCGAAAUUAAUGGUCAAAGUAGCAUGUUGAAGACUUUGAGAAGUCAAAGAACAGACUGAGUAUUAGAGAAUACAUAACUAUUAAUUCUGUUCGUGAAAGAACGGCUGUUUCAUCAAAACUUAGACAUUUCUUAUUGCCUAAAAGUUUUGUCUCUGAACUGCAACAUUUAGCAGCGGAGACUGCUUCUUGUAUUCAUGAUACUGCAAUAUUUCUUUCUGUUUCCGUUUUACAUGGGGCUUGAAAUGGUGGGAGAACAUCAUUUGAUGUCAUAUGGAUGUAUAUA